This 209-nucleotide small RNA is filed under the name Drosophila mojavensis. Its description in RNAcentral is "GI26263". The record is from RNAcentral. Lineage: Eukaryota; Metazoa; Arthropoda; Insecta; Diptera; Drosophilidae.
AUCGAGUAUCAUAAAUUAUUUAACAGCUCAAACGAAUUCAGCUACUGUACCUUGUUCUGGAUCACCUUAGAGCUUAGACCUGCAAAUUGAUGAUGCUCAUAUAAACCGCAUCCCACAUUUACCUCGCGUGGAACAACACUCAGCUCACAUCGAGGCAUGCAACUACAACUACAAGUGUCUGAUUUGAACUGGAUUGCAGGGAGAUCACA